AGAGAUUGAACUGAAGAGUUUGAUCCUGGCUCAGAUUGAACGCUGGCGGAAUGCUUUACACAUGCAAGUCGAACGGCAGCACGGGUGCUUGCACCUGGUGGCGAGUGGCGAACGGGUGAGUAAUGCGUCGGAACGUACCGAGUAAUGGGGGAUAACGCAGCGAAAGUUGUGCUAAUACCGCAUACGCCCUAUGGGGGAAAGCAGGGGAUCGCAAGACCUUGCGUUAUUCGAGCGGCCGACGUCUGAUUAGCUAGUUGGUGGGGUAAAGGCCUACCAAGGCGACGAUCAGUAGCGGGUCUGAGAGGAUGAUCCGCCACACUGGGACUGAGACACGGCCCAGACUCCUACGGGAGGCAGCAGUGGGGAAUUUUGGACAAUGGGGGCAACCCUGAUCCAGCCAUUCCGCGUGAG
This 411-nucleotide ribosomal RNA is filed under the name Hydrogenophilales bacterium 12-64-13. Its description in RNAcentral is "bacterial SSU rRNA". It matches the Rfam family "Bacterial small subunit ribosomal RNA", at positions 1 to 405 of the family's 1533-position model. Lineage: Bacteria; Pseudomonadati; Pseudomonadota; Hydrogenophilia; Hydrogenophilales. The record is from RNAcentral.